CCUGCCCCAGAGGCAUUGCUGUGUCACACGUGCAUCAGCAGAGAACAGAGGAGAGGCUACGUCUACACUCGGUGCUCUGAUCUAUGGACAUCUGAAUGAUUCGUAGCCUAAUUCA
This is a small nucleolar RNA of Rattus norvegicus (Norway rat), 115 nucleotides long. Ensembl annotates it as small nucleolar RNA SNORA17. The record is from Ensembl. NCBI's taxonomy places the organism in Eukaryota, Metazoa, Chordata, Mammalia, Rodentia, Muridae.